This is a long non-coding RNA of Hydra vulgaris (swiftwater hydra), 5343 nucleotides long. RefSeq lists it as uncharacterized. The record is from RefSeq and is a predicted model, not a curated record. Lineage: Eukaryota; Metazoa; Cnidaria; Hydrozoa; Anthoathecata; Hydridae.
UUAAUAUUGAAAAUGUUUAUGAUGAAAAUGAACUAAUGAAAACGAUAAAACAAACUGUCUACCUUCGAUCGGACGUGGCUCCUAUACUUAAUAACAAUUUACUUAACACAGCCCCCCCGAAAAUUAUCGAACUGCUUUAAAAAUUUGUAAAUGAAGGUUUAGGCUAGCGCUUGAACCGCUGCGAGUCCUUACAAAUUGGCUUCGUUAAAUGCCAGCCUUUCCGUGCUCAAAGCUACAUAAAAACUCCCAUUUGCAUUCCAAAGCAUUAUGUUAUCAGUUUUAAAAAUGUUGAUAAUAGAUGCUUCGAAUGGGCUAUACUUAGCGCAUUAUACCCUGUAGACCCUAAUUGUAAAGAGCAUGCAAAUUGCACAACUAAAUACAGUCAGCAUCUUGGCGAGCUUCACUUUGAUUGAAUUCCCAAUUCGAAAUCCAACGCUCUAGGUUAAUGUGAUUGCAUUGAAUACUUGUCUUUACCCAUCUUACGUUAGCAAGAAUUAUAUCAAUAUUUUAUAAAAACCCACAUUAUAUUUGGAUAAAAAAUUUAACUGGAAUGUUUUAAUAUAAUAGUAAGUUUAAUGCAGGAAAACACCCUUGCCACUGCUGUCUCCAUGUAUUUAGCACUGCUGUUUUGUUGGAAGCUAGACAGCCGAGAUUGCUUCAGUAUCGGAAAUAAAUGCAGCGGACUGUAAUGUCAGAAAAGGGUAAAAUGAUGUGUGUAAAUUUACUAAUCACCACAAACAGAUGCGCCUGCCCUAUAUUGUCUAUACGGAUUUCGAAUGUUUAAUCCCAAUAGAAGGCUUGCAAAACGAUCCAGCAAAAAGCUAAACUUUUAGCUGCGUUGCUUGCUUGACCUUCAUCUGCGAGCUUAGUAUUAAUUUUAUCAAUAGCAUCAGCACGUUUUUGUUUCCAUUCUGCUUUAGCUUUUUGUAAUAGUUCAUCAAUUAAUAUUCACUAUAUUAAUGUGGACUAUUUUGAGUAAAUAAUUAGUAAUAAUUCUCAAUUGAAAACUAUUAAAAAUAAAAAAAUAAUGUCAAGAAAUCACUUUAUUUACUUGUUUGAUAUCAACUCAAAGAGGCAAACGGGUGUAACCUAUGCUCUUAAAGAAGCGCUUAGGACAUCUAACUUCUCGCGAAUUGGUGUUAAAAAAAUAAUAUUUAAAGUCGCGCCGCCAACAGAAUCAAAAAUAUUUUUUAUCAAAUGUCCGGACGUAAAACCAAUAAGUUCAACUUUUAAUGGAGACAAAGAUCAAAUAAUUCAUUGUGGCUGUCUCACACCUGAUAGAACGAAAUUGUAUGUUACUUGGGAUGCAAAUAAGUAUGUUACUUGAUAAGCAAUAAUGUAUGUUAUUCGGGAAGCAAUAAGGUUUAUUGGAAAAAAUAUAAACUUGAUUUGAACUUGACCGAAGUAAAAUAAAACUUUAUUUAGACUUAAUCAAACUUAUAACGCUAACACUGAACUAAAUUGUAAGCAUUUGCUUUCUGAACUUUGUAAGCAAAAAGAAAAAGUUUUAAACAUGGAAGAACAAGAAGUGAAAACAAAAGAAAAUAUACCAAAGAAAGAAAAACCCUUCAUGGAUUCAAACAAUACUAACCUCGUUUAUGAUGUUAUCAGUGUUGAAGCAAUCGCGGCUAUUAUUUUGUCAUGAAUAAUUAAGAAGAGUUGCCUCCCCCUAAAAUAAUAAAACCAGCGCCUGAGUCGCUAACAGGGAUAGGUAUCAUUGUAACUGCAAUUGAGCCUGCGACCACUCCCGUUGUCAACCCAACUUUAUUACAAAUGGCGGCAGCGAUAGAUAAACGCUUUGAAAUUUUUUUCCUAAUUGUGCUAUUAUUCCGGAAUUCAUCUCCUAACACGCUCACCCUUUUUACCUACGACAAAGCCGUUUGAAAUUGUCAAGUUGAUGGGGUAUCAACUGAACAAUAAUAUGGAAAGUUGUAAAGAAUGCUUGUAUAAAUUGGAUUGCUUAUUUAUAGCAUAUCCAAGAGAACUCGAAUUAUGAGUAAAAUAACAAAAUAUUUUUGAUGGGCUUCCGUUAUAUGUUGUCGUGUUUGAAAAUAAUUUGUCGCAUUCUAUUGUAAAUUAAGCGUUAAUUAAUGUUGUAUCGCUACAACAUUAAUUAACGCUGUCUAGUAAUCUUAAAGCUAUUUUAGUCUGUUUUGUUGCUACUAACGGCGCUGUUAAAGUAACCCACAUGGUGCCAGUAACAUUACCUUGAUAAACUGUGUGCGUUUGCUUCAUUUUUACUUCCCAUCAACAACAAAACGUCUUUCAUCACAAUGGUGAACCCAACUUUGCUAUCUCUUUUCAGAAAUGUUAAAUUCAUUUUUUAUCUCCUCGAGUUGAGCGUUAUCAAUACCAAUUUUCCAUGGAUCGAAAUUUGUUGAAGCUGGUAAAUUAACACCUAAAGACCAAAAAAUACUUUUUACUGUAUAGUAAACGUGAAACUGUAAAUACAUGGCAUAUAAUUAUCGAUACAAUGAAGUUUAUUAUUGACACUCCACAAGCCGCAGUUGCGAGUGAUACGGCAAAAUUUAAAAUAUUUAUAUAAUUAAUGUUGCCAGAGGGUUCUACCCACGUUUGGGGUGGAUCAAUUACUUCUGGAUAUGAGUAAGAAAAAUGUUACUAUACCUCGUACGGAAUGAAAAGUUUGCGUUAACUUAUAUUGUUAGCGUUUCCAAGCCUAUUAUUCUUAUCGAACAACGCAAUAUACCAUUUGUAGCGAUAGGUGAACUAUUAGUCUCUUUACCGUCGUUAAUUGUUAAUGUUAUUCUUGGUAAAGCAUUAACAAAUUCAUACUUAAAGUUUGGAUUAAACUCUGGAGUGGGGUAAUAGUGCUUUCCACCACCAAGAUAAACCCCUUUAGGGUUUCCAGCAACAAAUACGUUUGUAAAAACAGGAUAACCGUUAAACUUGCCUCGUUCUUACCUUAAUUUAAACUUAAAAUGGUCACGAGGGUCCCAGCAUCUUUGUGUAGCAGUAUCUACACAAAGAUGCUGGGACCCUCAUAACAGCCAUUUAUUUAUAAUAGCUUACUUUCUUUUAAAAUUUAUUUUCCAUUUUUCUAAUAUUUUGACUUCUUAAACUUUUCAUUAGUAUUUUAUAUAAAAAGAAAGUAAUAACGAUUAUGACUAAUCAUGUUUUGUAUGAAAUCUAAAAAGCUUAUUUUGCUCCUACAUAAAAUAAACAUCUGAUUAACUCGCCGAUGAUUGCAGGAAGAACAGCAUAUGCCUUUUUUGGUAGAUUUUAUGGUAGAUUUACAGAUUAUGCUAUAAAAACAUUUCUUCAUCCCAAUGGUUUAACGUCUUGAGGAGAACUUGUAAGAAAAGAAUAGGACUAUCAAAAUGCUUUAAAAAGGCAAUAUACUAAAACAUCAGGAUGAAGUAAAUCCCAGUCAGCCCAAUCUUCUCUAGAUCUAUUUCUAUUGAUAAGCGGGAUUCCUUCCACACCUUCAGUCUUUUUACGUGUAAGCAAUAUAUUAGAUAGUAAUCAGGUCUUUAAUAAAACAUUCAAUAUGGCUUCAAGUCUAAAUAGUAGCUAUGGAACUUUGCAAAACCCCUCCCGCGACGUUAUUAAAAGGCACGGACCUAAAAGGGAUAGGCAAUUUAUAACAGUUAACCUUGCCCUAUUAACUUUUGCAUCUCUUUUAGCCAACAUGGUUGUUGUUCCUGGAUCAGUCCGAUUAAUAUACGAUUUCCUUUUAACUCGAGGUACUGACUUGACCGUGAGGAUCGUUGCAAAUUUAGGAUGAGUAGUUAUUCAAAAACUUACUGCAAGCCCAAGAGAUACAAUCAUUAAUGGACUAUGGAGAUUACUGUAGUGUUCGAGACCUGUUCCUCCCAACAACUCAGCCGGCUUUACCUGACAGGCUUAUGCAAAGCAUUGAUGAACAAGCUGAGCCCAGAAGUCUUACUCGUCUUAGAUCAGGUUUUUCAACAGGUUGCACUACUGGCCCAAACGCUGCAAUUUAUCUUGCUUACGGACGCAGACCCCAAUGGGUCUAUGUAUUGCACUCCCCUCGAUUCUGAACUCUUCAAUGGUAAAGGACCAUUUUACCCCUCAAGCUUUGCAGAUCUGCUCGAAUGCGAAAUUGUUUCGCAAGUCAUUAUUUCUACUAACACUUCAACAACUCCAAAUUGUUCACUCAACUACAUUGCUUUGCCACCUUUUUGAAAAAAUGUUCUACUGCUUUGCUGACUUUUCUUGUAACUCAAGCAACAAAACAAAUAUGGUAAAUAGUAAAGACGGUUUUCAAGCUGUGACAACAAAUGGAUUUUACGCAGGCGCCCAAUAAUUUUUGGCUGACAAUUUCAAAUCUGCAAGCAAUCAUCGCUUAUCAGGAAGCGGUUUAAAACUAAGUAACUCAAGGGGAUGUAUCCCAAUAACUGUUUCUCGAACAACUGGUACUUGAUUAGUUGACGUUCUUGUGUUCUAUGUUUAGACACUGUAGUUCAGUUUGAGAAAGAGCAAUUCAGAAACGUUGUAUAUUUGUGUAAUAAAUUAAUCGUGUCCGUUAUGAUAUUAAUCUCUCCAUGGAAUGGCCGCUUGAUAGUACUAAACCAUGAAGAGAAAAAGUUUUCCGUACGUUUUUAAUUUCAUGUGUCAAGAAAUAUUUUCAGACCAGAGAGAGACCUCAAGUGAGACCACUCGGGAGACCUCUCAGGGUAGCAUCAAAGCAGAUGUAAAAUACACGUCACCCUCUCAGGGUGGCGUCAAACCCUUACUUUACAUCUACUCAAUGUAGAGCAAAUUUAAAAAUGUCGCAUUUAUCAGCAGCUUUUCUAAUUUUUUACUCACAGCUAAAACUACAUAUCAUUCUAUUUUAGAAGAUUGAUUUUUCUUGUAUAUAAUUUAUUAUUACCGUUAAUUACAUUAAACACUAUUAAUAAGCGAAGUUAAGUUAUAAAAAAAACAAUUUCUUUGAAUUUAUUACUAAUAUUGCUUUUCUUACAAAAGAAAAUUAUAUUUUAGAUUAAAAACAAAAUUAUCAAACUGUAUACAGCACCAUAUAAUGGUAGUAUGGUAUAAAUAACUCGAUAUGCAAACCUACUGAUGCAUUUCGCUUUGUUCCAAAAAUGAAAUUGGGUAAGAAAUAUUAACAAAAACUUGGAAAUCGUUCAUAUGCGUUAUAAACUUGGAAGUCGUUCAUUCGAUAUAUUUAAAAUUUACUGAUAUAUUUAAAAUUCAAUGAAACAUUAAAUGUAAUCAAUUUAAAAGACUAUGAAUUCCAUCACAUUCCAGCUCAACUAUUUGAUAAACUCUAAUUUUCAUUACAAUGUAUUAAAUGUUUUUAAAUUAUUGUUUUUUUUAAAUAAAUAUUCAUCAAAAAUUGUUCUUUUUUUUAUUGUA